UUCUCAUAGUCAAUGGGAAUACAUUUCAUCC
This 31-nucleotide non-coding RNA is filed under the name Rattus norvegicus (Norway rat). The record is from RNAcentral. Lineage: Eukaryota; Metazoa; Chordata; Mammalia; Rodentia; Muridae.